Molecule: ribosomal RNA, 657 nt
Filed under: Methylobacterium radiotolerans
Lineage: Bacteria; Pseudomonadati; Pseudomonadota; Alphaproteobacteria; Hyphomicrobiales; Methylobacteriaceae
Description: bacterial SSU rRNA
Rfam family: Bacterial small subunit ribosomal RNA
Source: RNAcentral
UAGAGUUUUGAUCCUGGCUCAGAGCGAACGCUGGCGGCAGGCUUAACACAUGCAAGUCGAGCGGGCCCUUCGGGGUCAGCGGCGGACGGGUGAGUAACGCGUGGGAACGUGCCUUCUGGUUCGGAAUAACCCUGGGAAACUAGGGCUAAUACCGGAUACGCCCUUUUGGGGAAAGGUUUACUGCCGGAAGAUCGGCCCGCGUCUGAUUAGCUAGUUGGUGGGGUAACGGCCUACCAAGGCGACGAUCAGUAGCUGGUCUGAGAGGAUGAUCAGCCACACUGGGACUGAGACACGGCCCAGACUCCUACGGGAGGCAGCAGUGGGGAAUAUUGGACAAUGGGCGCAAGCCUGAUCCAGCCAUGCCGCGUGAGUGAUGAAGGCCUUAGGGUUGUAAAGCUCUUUUAUCCGGGACGAUAAUGACGGUACCGGAGGAAUAAGCCCCGGCUAACUUCGUGCCAGCAGCCGCGGUAAUACGAAGGGGGCUAGCGUUGCUCGGAAUCACUGGGCGUAAAGGGCGCGUAGGCGGCGUUUUAAGUCGGGGGUGAAAGCCUGUGGCUCAACCACAGAAUGGCCUUCGAUACUGGGACGCUUGAGUAUGGUAGAGGUUGGUGGAACUGCGAGUGUAGAGGUGAAAUUCGUAGAUAUUCGCAAGAACGG